CAGGACGAACGCUGGCGGCGUGCCUAACACAUGCAAGUCGAACGGAACGAAAAGAGCUUGCUCUUGGCGUUUAGUGGCGGACGGGUGAGUAACACGUGAGUAACCUACCUUCAGAGGGGAAUAAUGUCUGGAAACGGACACUAAUACCGCAUAAAAUAUUUUAACCGCAUGAUUGAAAUAUCAAAGGAGCAAUCCGCUGAAAGAUGGACUCGCGUCUGAUUAGCCAGUUGGCGGGGUAACGGCCCACCAAAGCGACGAUCGGUAGCCGGACUGAGAGGUUGAACGGCCACAUUGGGACUGAGACACGGCCCAGACUCCUACGGGAGGCAGCAGUGGGGGAUAUUGCACAAUGGGCGCAAGCCUGAUGCAGCAAACCGCCGCGUGCAGGAAGACGGUCUUCGGAUUGUAAACUGUUGUCCUCUGUGACGAUAAUGACGGUAGCAGAGGAGGAAGCCACGGCUAACUACGUGCCAGCCGCAGC
This 481-nucleotide ribosomal RNA is filed under the name uncultured bacterium. RNAcentral describes it as "bacterial SSU rRNA". It matches the Rfam family "Bacterial small subunit ribosomal RNA", at positions 25 to 518 of the family's 1533-position model. The record is from RNAcentral.